CCUACGGGUGGCAGCAGUCGAGAAUCAUUCACAAUGGGGGAAACCCUGAUGGUGCGACGCCGCGUGGGGGAAUGAAGGUCUUCGGAUUGUAAACCCCUGUCAUGUGGGAGCAAAUUAAAAAGAUCGUACCACACGAGGAAGAGACGGCUAACUCUGUGCCAGCAGCCGCGGUAAUACAGAGGUCUCAAGCGUUGUUCGGAAUCACUGGGCGUAAAGCGUGCGUAGGCUGUUUCGUAAGUCGUGUGUGAAAGGCGCGGGCUCAACCCGCGGACGGCACAUGAUACUGCGAGACUAGAGUAAUGGAGGGGGAACCGGAAUUCUCGGUGUAGCAGGGAAAUGCGUAGAUAUCGAGAGGAACACUCGUGGCGAAGGCGGGUUCCUGGACAUUAACUGACGCUGAGGCACGAAGGCCAGGGGAGCGAAAGGGAUUAGAUACCCCAGUAGUC
This 446-nucleotide ribosomal RNA is filed under the name uncultured bacterium. Its description in RNAcentral is "partial 16S ribosomal RNA". It matches the Rfam family "Bacterial small subunit ribosomal RNA", at positions 338 to 795 of the family's 1533-position model. The record is from RNAcentral.